CCUACGGUGUGCAGCAGUGGGGAAUAUUGCACAAUGGUGGAAACCCUGAUGCAGCGACGCCGCGUGAGUGAAGAAGUCUUUCGGUACGUAAAGCUCUAUCAGCAGGGAAGAAAAUGACGGUACCUGACUAAGACUCCCCGGCUAACUCCGGGCCAGCAGCCGCGGUAAUACGUAGGGGGCAAGCGUUCUCCGGAUUUACUGGGUGUAAAGUGAGCGUAGACGGCCGCGCAAGUCUGGCGUGAAAUCCCAUGGCUUAACCAUGGAACUGCUUUGGAAACUGUGCAGCUAGAGUGCAGGAGAGGUAAGCGGAAUUCCUAGUGUAGCGGUGAAAUGCGUAGAUAUUAGGAGGAACACCAGUGGCGAAGGCGGCUUACUGGACUGUAACUGACGUUGAGGCGCGAAAGCGUGGGGAGCAAACAGGAUUAGAUACCCUUGUAGUC
RNAcentral lists this ribosomal RNA (440 nucleotides) under uncultured bacterium. RNAcentral describes it as "partial 16S ribosomal RNA". It matches the Rfam family "Bacterial small subunit ribosomal RNA", at positions 338 to 795 of the family's 1533-position model. The record is from RNAcentral.